GGGGAAUCUUGCGCAAUGCGCGAAAGCGUGACGCAGCAACGCCGCGUGGGGGAAGAAGGCCUUCGGGUUGUAAACCCCUUUCAGGAGGGACGAAGGUGCGGCCGCGAACAGCGGUCCGUACUGACGGUACCUCCACAAGAAGCCCCGGCUAACUACGUGCCAGCAGCCGCGGUAAUACGUAGGGGGCUAGCGUUGUCCGGAAUCAUUGGGCGUAAAGCGCGCGUAGGCGGCCCGGUAAGUCCGUUGUGAAAGUCGAAGGCUCAACCUUCGAAUGCCGAUGGAUACUGCCGGGCUCGAGUCCGGAAGAGGCGAGUGGAAUUCCUGGUGUAGCGGUGGAAUGCGCAGAUAUCAGGAGGAACACCAAUAGCGAAGGCAGCUCGCUGGGACGGUACUGACGCUAAGGCGCGAAAGCGUGGGGAGCGAAC
RNAcentral lists this ribosomal RNA (425 nucleotides) under uncultured bacterium. RNAcentral describes it as "bacterial SSU rRNA". It matches the Rfam family "Bacterial small subunit ribosomal RNA", at positions 356 to 773 of the family's 1533-position model. The record is from RNAcentral.